RNAcentral lists this ribosomal RNA (274 nucleotides) under uncultured bacterium. Its description in RNAcentral is "partial 16S ribosomal RNA". It matches the Rfam family "Bacterial small subunit ribosomal RNA", at positions 523 to 796 of the family's 1533-position model. The record is from RNAcentral.
AUACGGAGGGUGCAAGCGUUGUUCGGAAUCACUGGGCGUAAAGGGCGCGCAGGCGGUUUGGUAAGUCAGAUGUGAAAGCCCAUGGCUCAACCAUGGAAGUGCAUUUGAAACUGUCAGACUUGAGUAUCAGAGGGGAAAGUGGAAUUCCCGGUGUAGAGGUGAAAUUCGUAGAUAUCGGGAGGAAUACCGGUGGCGAAGGCGACUUUCUGGCUGAAUACUGACGCUGAGGCGCGAAAGCGUGGGGAGCAAACAGGAUUAGAAACCCGAGUAGUCC